This is a non-coding RNA of Vicugna pacos (alpaca), 829 nucleotides long. Lineage: Eukaryota; Metazoa; Chordata; Mammalia; Artiodactyla; Camelidae. The record is from RefSeq and is a predicted model, not a curated record.
AUAUACAGGCUCUCCGGUGACACGCAGGCGUUUCUCUGGAGCUCCAUCCUCUUGUUGAGACAGUCCCAAGACCAGUUUUCCACAAGUGGACCUGAGUGUCAUUCCCAGCUCUCUCACUGGCUCUGCACCGGCCUCCUCCAGCAAACACUGGAUCCCCCCGGACCUGUAACUAAACCAGUUAUUUCCUAUGCAAAAGUAAAAGGUUAGAUGCUGGAGCACAGAUGGGAGAAACCGUCAAAGAAAGCUUGUGAACAUGCAGAUGAGGUGGAUGUUUCGAGGGUUUCCAGUCUUCUGCCCCACACAGCGUCUCCCUGCCUGCUCCCUCCCUGCAGAAGGCUCUGGCGCGCCACACCUUGCUCACGCCCACGGAGAGUCCUGGCCCCAGCAUCAAAUGCAGGUCCCAGGCUGCGCAGGGGGCUGCUGCUUCCGGUUUCUCACCGCUCCUGACUUCUCUUUGUAUACUAUUGGCAUCUGCUGAGAAAUGUCCACCAGGGCGCUGGCCACUGCGAGACCUUGAGAGAACCCACAGAGGGAAAGCAUGUUAAGGAACAGCUUGCUUUUAUUUAAAAAAUAAUUAAAAAUUUUUUUCUUUUUACAUUCCCACGGUACAAUAAAUAAAUAAAUACACAGAUGGGAAAGGUCUUACUUUCAAUUUGUCUCCCUCCAUAUUUCCCCCUCCAUCAGAGUAACUGCUUUCAUUAGUUUGCAUAUGUUCUUUCAGUGUUUAUUUGUACAAAUAUAUAACCCCCGCCCCCCGCCCCCCCCAGUAUCUUGCUUUUCAGCAGAUCAACCAAGCAAAGUGCCUGGUGGUGGGAGCAUUUAAAAAAAA